This 107-nucleotide small nuclear RNA is filed under the name Mandrillus leucophaeus (drill). Lineage: Eukaryota; Metazoa; Chordata; Mammalia; Primates; Cercopithecidae. The record is from RNAcentral.
GCGCUCACUUUGGCAGCACAUAUACUAAAAUUGGAAUGAUACAGAGAAGAUUAGCACGACCCCUGCACAAGGAUGACACAUAAAUUCAUGAAGCAUUCCAUAUUUAA